UGGUUCUCCCCGAAAUCUAUUUAGGUAGAGCCUCGGACGAAUACUUACGGGGGUAGAGCACUGUUAAGGCUAGGGGGGUCAUCCCGACUUACCAACCCUUUGGCAAACUCCGAAUACCGUAAAGUACUAUCCGGGAGACACACGGCGGGUGCUAACGUCCGUCGUGGAGAGGGAAACAACCCAGACCGUCAGCUAAGGUCCCAAAGUGUAUGUUAAGUGGGAAACGAUGUGGGAAGGCUAAAACAGCUAGGAGGUUGGCUUAGAAGCAGCCACCCUUUAAAGAAAGCGUAAUAGCUCACUAGUCGAGUCGGCCUGCGCGGAAGAUGUAACGGGGCUAAACAUACCACCGAAGCUACGGCUGC
This 362-nucleotide ribosomal RNA is filed under the name Pseudoalteromonas sp. A757. Its description in RNAcentral is "partial 23S ribosomal RNA". It matches the Rfam family "Bacterial large subunit ribosomal RNA", at positions 850 to 1209 of the family's 2925-position model. The record is from RNAcentral. Lineage: Bacteria; Pseudomonadati; Pseudomonadota; Gammaproteobacteria; Alteromonadales; Pseudoalteromonadaceae.